AUGGCCGCCGCCGUCCCCAACGGCCACCCCUCCGCCGACGGCGACGAUAGUCCCCCGUCCCCACCGCCGUCCUCGUCCUCGUCCUCGCUGGUGUUCCUGGGCACUGGCUGCUCCAGCGCCGUCCCCAACGCGCGGUGCCUGAUCCAGCCCUCCGACCCGCCCUGCGCCGUCUGCUCCCAGUCCCUCUCCGUGCCCCCGGAGGUAAACCCCAACUACNNGUGUAAUACUUCUCUUCUGAUUGAUUAUUGCCAAGAUGAAGGUGCACACAAGUAUAUUAUAAUUGAUGUUGGGAAGACAUUCCGAGAACAAGUUCUGCGGUGGUUUGUUUGCCACAAAAUCCCUUGUGUUGAUUCUAUUAUUCUGACUCAUGAGCACGCAGAUGCAAUCUUGGGACUUGAUGAUAUUCGGGUUGUACAGCCAUUUAGUCCUACAAAUGAUAUUGAUCCAACCCCUAUUUAUCUCUCACAAUAUGCCAUGGACAGCAUUUCCCAAAAGUUUCCAUACUUGGUCAAAAAGAAACUGAAGGAAGGCGAGGAGGUCAGGCGGGUUGCUCAACUUGACUGGAGAAUAAUUGAGAGUGAUCUUCAGAAACCGUUUACUGCCUCGGGCCUACAGUUUGUUCCCUUGCCGGUGAUCCAUGGAGAGGACUACAUUUGUCUGGGUUUCCUUUUCGGAAGAAAAUCUAAAGUUGCUUAUAUAUCCGAUGUUUCACGGUUUCCUCCUAGCACAGAAGAUGCAAUUUCAAAGUCUGGAGGGGGUCAGCUAGAUUUGCUCAUCUUGGACUGCCUAUACAGGACUGGUUCUCAUAACGUGCAUCUUUGUUGGGAUCAGACACUAGAUGCUAUUAAGAGGAUAUGCCCCAAGAAGGCAUUGCUCAUUGGGUUGACUCAUGAGAUGGACCAUCACAAGGACAACCAGACAUUGGAAGAAUGGUCGAGAAGAGAGGGGAUUGAUGUGCAGUUAGCUCGUGAUGGCUUGCGUGUCUACAUUGAUCUGUAG
RNAcentral lists this ribosomal RNA (999 nucleotides) under Triticum aestivum (bread wheat). Its description in RNAcentral is "partial small subunit ribosomal RNA". Lineage: Eukaryota; Viridiplantae; Streptophyta; Magnoliopsida; Poales; Poaceae. The record is from RNAcentral.